GGGGAAUUUUCCGCAAUGGGCGAAAGCCUGACGGAGCAAUACCGCGUGAGGGAGGAAGGCUCUUGGGUUGUAAACCUCUUUUCUCAGGGAAGAAUGAUGACGGUACCUGAGGAAUAAGCAUCGGCUAACUCCGUGCCAGCAGCCGCGGUAAUACGGAGGAUGCAAGCGUUAUCCGGAAUGAUUGGGCGUAAAGCGUCCGCAGGUGGCAAUGUAAGUCUGCUGUCAAAGCGUCUGGCUCAACCAGAUAAAGGCAGUGGAAACUACAUAGCUAGAGUAAGGUAGGGGUAGAGGGAAUUCCUGCUGUAGCGGUGAAAUGCGUACAGAUCAGGAAGAACACCGGUGGCGAAAGCGCUCUGCUGGACCUUAACUGACACUGAGGGACGAAAGCUAUGGGAGCGAAUGGGAUUAUAUACCCCAGUAGUCCUAAUCGUAAACGAUGGAUACUAAGCGUUGCCCGUAUCGAACCGGGCAGUGUCGUAACUAACGCGUUAAGUAUCCCGCCUGGGGAGUACGCACGCAACUGUGAAACUCAAAGGAAUUGACGGGGGCCCGCACAAGCGGUGGAGUAUGUGGUUUAAUUCGAUGCAACGCGAAGAACCUUACCAGGGCUUGACAUGUCCGGAAUCCUCUUGAAAGGGAGGAGUGCCUUCGGGAGCCGGAACACAGGUGGUGCAUGGCUGUCGUCAGCUCGUGUCGUGAGAUGUUGGGUUAAGUCCCGCAACGAGCGCAACCCUCGUUCUUAGUUGCCAUCAUUAAGUUGGGAACUCUAAGGAGACUGCCGGUGACAAACCGGAGGAAGGUGGGGAUGACGUCAAGUCAGCAUGCCCCUUACGCCCUGGGNUACACACGUACUACAAUGCUAUGGACAAAGGGCAGCAAGCCAGCGAUGGCAAGCAAAUCUCGUAAACCAUGGCUCAGUUCAGAUCGCAGACUGCAACUCGCCUGCGUGAAGUCGGAAUCGCUAGUAAUUGCAGGUCAGCAUACUGCAGUGAAUUCGUUCCCGGGCNUUGUACACACCGGCCCGUCACACCAUGGAAGCUGGUCACGCCCGAAGUCGUUACCCUAMCCUUUCGAGGAGGGGGACGCCGAAGGUAGGACUGGUGACUGGGGU
RNAcentral lists this ribosomal RNA (1111 nucleotides) under Kalymmatonema hyalinum. RNAcentral's name for it is "bacterial SSU rRNA". It matches the Rfam family "Bacterial small subunit ribosomal RNA", at positions 356 to 1481 of the family's 1533-position model. The record is from RNAcentral. Lineage: Bacteria; Bacillati; Cyanobacteriota; Cyanophyceae; Nostocales; Scytonemataceae.